Molecule: non-coding RNA, 123 nt
Organism: Podarcis lilfordi (Lilford's wall lizard)
Lineage: Eukaryota; Metazoa; Chordata; Lepidosauria; Squamata; Lacertidae
Source: the annotation of a GenBank genome assembly
GUUUCAGAAUCAAGGUAUGAUAUUCAACCAUAGGCCAUAGUUUAAGAUUGAUUAAAAGCUUUAGAACAAGCCUGAAUCUUAAACUAUGGCCUGUGGUUGAAUAUCAUACCUUGAUUCUGAAAC